AGAGUUUUAUCCUGGCUCAGAACGAACGCUGGCGGCGCGUCUUAAGCAUGCAAGUCGGGCGGGAUCCAUGCGCUUGCGCAUGGUGAGAGCGGCGGACUGGCGAGUAACACGUGGGCGACGCGCCCUCCGGACGGGAAUAGCCUGUAGAAAUACAGGGUAAUGCCGGAUGCGAACGCGCGCGCUGGAGGCGCGCGUGGAAAGCCCCCACGGGGGCGCCGGAGGAGCGGCCCGCGGCCCAUCAGCUUGUAGGCGGUGCAAGGGACCACCUAGGCUACGACGGGUACCCGGCCUCAGAGGGCGGACGGGCGCAUUGGGACUGAGAUACGGCCCAGACUCCUACGGGAGGCAGCAGCUAAGAAUAUUCCGCAAUGGGGGGAACCCUGACGGAGCGACGCCGCGUGGGCGAGGAAGGCCGGAAGGUUGUAAAGCCCUUUUGCGCGCGAGGAAUAAGGGGAGGAGGGAAUGCCUUCCCGGUGACUGUAGCGCGCGAAUAAGCGCCGUCUAAUUACGUGCCAGCAGCCGCGGUAACACGUAAGGCGCGAGCGUUGUUCGGAAUCAUUGGGCGUAAAGGGCGUGUAGGCGGCCCUGCAAGCCUGGCGUGAAAUCCCGGGGCUCAACCCCGGAACCGCGCUGGGAACUGCUGGGCUGGAGCCGCUGUGGCGCAGCCGGAAUUCCAGGUGUAGGGGUGAAAUCUGUAGAUACCUGGAAGAACACCGAUGGCGAAGGCAGGCUGCGAGCGGACGGCUGACGCUGAGGCGCGAAGGCGCGGGGAGCGAACAGGAUUAGAUACCCUGGUAGUCCGCGCAGUAAACGAUGCACACUGGGUGUCCGGGCAUGAGCCCGGGUGCCGAAGCGAACGCGUUAAGUGUGCCGCCUGGGGAGUAUGCCCGCAAGGGUGAAACUCAAAGGAAUUGACGGGGGCCCGCACAAGCAGAGGAACAUGUGGUUUAAUUCGAAGCAACGCGAAGAACCUUACCAGGGCUUGACAUCCAACUAACGAAGCAGAGAUGCAUUAGGUGCCCUUCGGGGAAAGUUGAGACAGGUGGUGCAUGGUUGUCGUCAGCUCGUGUCGUGAGAUGUUGGGUUAAGUCCCGCAACGAGCGCAACCCCUAUUGUUAGUUGCUACGCAAGAGCACUCUAGCGAGACUGCCGUUGACAAAACGGAGGAAGGUGGGGACGACGUCAAAUCAUCAUGCCCCUUAUGUCCUGGGCUACACACGUAAUACAAUGGCGUCCUACAAAGGGAAGCAAAACCGCGAGGUAGAGCAAAUCCCCAAAGGACGUCUCAGUUCGGAUUGCAGGCUGCAACUCGCCUGUAUGAAGUCGGAAUUGCUAGUAAUCGUGGAUCAGCAUGCCACGGCGAAUACGUUACCGGGCCUUGUACACACCGCCCGUCA
Molecule: ribosomal RNA, 1397 nt
Filed under: uncultured bacterium
Lineage: Bacteria
Description: bacterial SSU rRNA
Rfam family: Bacterial small subunit ribosomal RNA
Source: RNAcentral